GGACCUACGGGACGCAGCAGUGGGGAAUAUUGCACAAUGGGGGAAACCCUGAUGCAGCGAUGCCGCGUGGAGGAAGAAGGUUUUCGGAUUGUAAACUCCUUUUAUCAGGGACGAUAAUGACGGUACCUGAAGAAAAAGCUCCGGCUAACUACGUGCCAGCAGCCGCGGUAAUACGUAGGGAGCGAGCGUUGUCCGGAUUUAUUGGGUUUAAAGGGUGCGUAGGCGGAAUGCCAAGUCAGCGGUAAAAUCGCGGUGCUCAACCUCGCACCGCCGUUGAAACUGGCGUUCUUGAGUGGGCGAGAAGA
RNAcentral lists this ribosomal RNA (305 nucleotides) under uncultured bacterium. Its description in RNAcentral is "bacterial SSU rRNA". It matches the Rfam family "Bacterial small subunit ribosomal RNA", at positions 335 to 658 of the family's 1533-position model. The record is from RNAcentral.